UACGUAGGGGGCUAGCGUUGUCCGGAAUCAUUGGGCGUAAAGAGCGUGUAGGCGGCUCGGUAAGUCCGCUGUGAAAGUCCAGGGCUCAACCCUGGAAUGCCAGUGGAAACUGUCGAGCUAGAGUCCGGAAGAGGCGAGUGGAAUUCCUGGUGUAGCGGUGAAAUGCGCAGAUAUCAGGAGGAACACCGGUGGCGAAGGCGGGUCUCUGGGCCGAUACUGACGCUGAGGAGCGAAAGCGUGGGGAGCGAACAGG
Molecule: ribosomal RNA, 253 nt
Filed under: uncultured bacterium
Lineage: Bacteria
Description: partial 16S ribosomal RNA
Rfam family: Bacterial small subunit ribosomal RNA
Source: RNAcentral